GAUGAACGCUGGCGGCGUGCUUAACACAUGCAAGUCGAACGGAAAGGCUCCUGCUUGCCGGGGUACUCGAGUGGCGAACGGGUGAGUAACACGUGGGUGAUCUGCCCUGCACUUCGGGAUAAGCCUGGGAAACUGGGUCUAAUACCGGAUAGGACCACAUUUUGGAUGGUGUGGUGGAAAGUUUUUCGGUGUGGGAUGAGCUCGCGGCCUAUCAGCUUGUUGGUGGGGUAAUGGCCUACCAAGGCGUCGACGGGUAGCCGGCCUGAGAGGGUGUACGGCCAAAUUGGGACUGAGGUAGGGCCGAGAGGCGAAGGGGGGACAGGGGGGGGAAAUAGUACACAGUGGGCGCGAGCGUGAGGAGGAGACGCCGGGUGGGGGAUGACGGCUUUGGGGGUGUAAACGGCUUGCGGUGGGGACGACGCGAGAGUGACGUUACCAGGAAAAGAAGCACCGGCUAACUACGUG
RNAcentral lists this ribosomal RNA (465 nucleotides) under uncultured bacterium. RNAcentral describes it as "partial 16S ribosomal RNA". It matches the Rfam family "Bacterial small subunit ribosomal RNA", at positions 28 to 507 of the family's 1533-position model. The record is from RNAcentral.